RNAcentral lists this long non-coding RNA (1652 nucleotides) under Fragaria vesca (wild strawberry). RNAcentral's name for it is "long non-coding RNA (FVES_LNC004723)". The record is from RNAcentral. Lineage: Eukaryota; Viridiplantae; Streptophyta; Magnoliopsida; Rosales; Rosaceae.
UAAAUAUCGUCGGCUAAACCUUUAAAUAUCGUCGGCUACAGUUGCUGGUUUAUGAAAAAAACUGCAGAAACUUUCGGCCACCUCCAAUCACCACCAAAAUUUGACAGAAUUUUCCUCUCAACAUUUUGAACAACUUUCUAGAAGAAGUUGAAGCCCAAUUCUAAGCCUAAACAGGUCAAUCGAAUCAAAAUAUAAAAAUCCCCAAUUUUAAACCCUAAAAACUUCAAAUCUUCGAUUCUCCUCACACACACCGAAUCGAGCUACCAAAUUCUAGGGGAAUGUAGUACUAAUCAAACUCAACUUAUCUAUAUAUAGAACUCACCAAGUGGUGACCUGAGGAAGGAGAAAUUCGAUCGACACCGAAUCCGAACCGGCGGAGUUUUGGAGCUCGAUUUAUCUCUCACGGCGGCGCCACUCGAUGCACCACCUGUCCAGCAAUGAAGUAGAGACGACGGCGAAGCUUUUGGGACAAGUGUGGCGGUCUUCGGUGGCUUGACGGCGGAGCUAGCCCGAGAAAAAAAUCUGGCAGGGGAAAUAGACUUCUUACCAUCCACCUUCGGUAAAACUCCUACAUAAAGAACUUUAGCCGACGAAAUUCUUUAUUUUCGUCGGCUAAACUCUUUUGAAACUUUUGAAAAUUUUGAAAAUUUUGGUUGACCGCCAAAAAAUUUUGAAAAUUUUUCGACUUUAGCUGACGACUUUUCAUAUAUUUUCGUCGGCUAAAGUCCUUUGAAAAUUUUCCUCCAAAUUUAGUUUACCGCCCAAAAAUUUUUGACCUUAGCCGAUGACUGUUUUAAUAUCUCGUCAGCUAAAGUCUAUAAAUUCACGAAAACGCUCAUAUCUCCCUCUAUAUUACGUAGUUUGGUCAAACCUUCCACACAAAAAACUUUCACGUAGAUGAGACGCAACCGUCUAUAUAAAAAUUUUGAGACAUUUGCCUUCCGAUGAUAGGGCUCCCCAUAGGGAAUAAUAACGGUAAAUAGGGUUGACCGCUACUAUCGGCACUGAGACUUUACCCGAUUUACGUGAUUUUUGAGCCAUAGCCGUAUUUCACCAUUCUGAACACAUCUUAUUUCACGAGAUUUUUGAUAAUUUUGCUUCCUAUAUAGAGUUGGUUCACAAAGUUGUAUAACCAACUAAACAAGUUAUACAACAUUAGUAGACACGUUGUGAUUCCAAUGACUAAAAUUCACAAACUAAAAUUCGACCAUUAGAUAUGAUCAUUAUGACGAAAAAUGUCUAUGGUAAAAAAUUUAACUGGAUCCGACAACGUUAAGGACUCGAUCGAAACGGUUAACCCUAAUCCAUCAUCACGAAAACGCUCAUAUCUCCCUCUAUAUUACGUGGUUUGGUCAAACCUUCCACACAAAAAACUCUCACGUAGAUGAGGCGCAACUGCCCAUAUAAAAAUUUUGAGACAUUUACCUUCCGACGAUAGGGCUCCCCAUAAGGAAUAAUAACGGUAAAUAGUAGACACGUUGUGAUUCCGAUGACUAAAAUUUACAAACCAAAAUUCGACCAUCCGAUAUGAUCAUUAUGACGAAAGAUGUCUAUGGUAAAAAAUUCAACUAGAUUCGACAACGUUAAGGGCUCGAUCGAAACGGUCAACUCUAAUCGGAAUAAGAAACUGCAUUUUGAAGCCCUAAACGGAC